RNAcentral lists this ribosomal RNA (364 nucleotides) under Streptomyces sp. SID11385. Its description in RNAcentral is "partial 23S ribosomal RNA". It matches the Rfam family "Bacterial large subunit ribosomal RNA", at positions 2569 to 2925 of the family's 2925-position model. Lineage: Bacteria; Bacillati; Actinomycetota; Actinomycetes; Kitasatosporales; Streptomycetaceae. The record is from RNAcentral.
GGGUUGGGCUGUUCGCCCAUUAAAGCGGUACGCGAGCUGGGUUUAGAACGUCGUGAGACAGUUCGGUCCCUAUCCGCUGUGCGCGUAGGAAUAUUGAGAAGGGCUGUCCCUAGUACGAGAGGACCGGGACGGACGAACCUCUGGUGUGCCAGUUGUUCUGCCAAGGGCAUGGCUGGUUGGCUACGUUCGGGAGGGAUAACCGCUGAAAGCAUCUAAGCGGGAAGCCUGCUUCGAGAUGAGUGUUCCCACCUCCUUUGAGAGGGUAAGGCUCCCAGUAGACGACUGGGUUGAUAGGCCGGAUAUGGAAGCCCUGUGAGGGGUGGAGUUGACCGGUACUAAUAGGCCGAGGGCUUGUCCUCAGUUG